RNAcentral lists this ribosomal RNA (253 nucleotides) under uncultured bacterium. RNAcentral describes it as "partial 16S ribosomal RNA". It matches the Rfam family "Bacterial small subunit ribosomal RNA", at positions 524 to 776 of the family's 1533-position model. The record is from RNAcentral.
UACGGGGGGGGCAAGCGUUGUUCGGAAUUACUGGGCGUAAAGGGUUCGUAGGGGGCCAACUAAGUCAGACGUGAAAUCCCCAGGCUCAACUUGGGAACUGCGUCUGAUACUGGAUGGCUUGAAUUCGGGAGAGGGAUGCAGAAUUCCAGGUGUAGCGGUGAAAUGCGUAGAUAUCUGGAGGAAUACCGGUGGCGAAGGCGGCAUCCUGGACCGAGAUUGACACUGAUGAGCGAAAGCCAGGGGAGCAAACGGG